Collybiopsis luxurians FD-317 M1 is the source of this 104-nucleotide non-coding RNA. The record is from the annotation of a GenBank genome assembly. Lineage: Eukaryota; Fungi; Basidiomycota; Agaricomycetes; Agaricales; Omphalotaceae.
UCCCUGGUAGUAUAUCGGUUAGUACACGCGCCUGUCAUGCAGUGAUUUGAGAGUUGAACAGUAAUUGGUCGCGCGAAAGCUGGGUUCGACUCCCAGCCAGGGAG